Molecule: long non-coding RNA, 204 nt
Filed under: Lathyrus oleraceus (garden pea)
Lineage: Eukaryota; Viridiplantae; Streptophyta; Magnoliopsida; Fabales; Fabaceae
Description: Pisum sativum (pea) long non-coding RNA (PSAT_LNC016869)
Source: RNAcentral
GAGAACAAAAUAUUAAAGGUGAAACAGAGUAUUUAUGAGAGUUAUUUUGGUAGGGGAAGAAAAAAACAAGGUGAGUUGAUUUGUCAAAGAAAUGAUAGAAAAAUAAAACAUGAAUUUUGAGAGAGUGGUGAAAUCUCUGAAAACGUUGAUAUCUACCUUUCUUUUUCAUUAUCCUUUUCCAUUUGUGAAUGAAGUGGAGAGAGA